AGAGUUUGAUCCUGGCUCAGGAUGAACGCUGGCGGCGUGCUUAACACAUGCAAGUCGAACGAACCUUCGGGUUAGUGGCGGACGGGUGAGUAACGCGUGAGAAUCUGCCCUCAGGAGGGGGAUAACGGUUGGAAACGACCGCUAAUACCCCAUAUGCCGCGAGGUGAAAUGAAUUUCGCCUGAGGAUGAGCUCGCGUCUGAUUAGCUAGUUGGUGGGGUAAGAGCCUACCAAGGCAUCGAUCAGUAGCUGGUCUGAGAGGAUGAUCAGCCACACUGGGACUGAGACACGGCCCAGACUCCUACGGGAGGCAGCAGUGGGGAAUUUUCCGCAAUGGGCGGAAGCCUGACGGAGCAACGCCGCGUGAGGGAUGAAGGCCUCUGGGCUGUAAACCUCUUUUAUCAAGGAAGAAGAUCUGACGGUACUUGAUGAAUAAGCCACGGCUAAUUCCGUGCCAGCAGCCGCGGUAAUACGGGAGUGGCAAGCGUUAUCCGGAAUUAUUGGGCGUAAAGCGUCCGCAGGCGGUCUUGUAAGUCUGUUGUUAAAGCGUGGAGCUUAACUCCAUUUCAGCAAUGGAAACUGUAAGACUAGAGUGUGGUAGGGGCAGAGGGAAUUCCCGGUGUAGCGGUGAAAUGCGUAGAUAUCGGGAAGAACACCAGUGGCGAAGGCGCUCUGCUGGGCCAUAACUGACGCUCAUGGACGAAAGCCAGGGGAGCGAAAGGGAUUAGAUACCCCUGUAGUCCUGGCCGUAAACGAUGAACACUAGGUGUCGGGGGAAUCGACCCCCUCGGUGUCGUAGCCAACGCGUUAAGUGUUCCGCCUGGGGAGUACGCACGCAAGUGUGAAACUCAAAGGAAUUGACGGGGGCCCGCACAAGCGGUGGAGUAUGUGGUUUAAUUCGAUGCAACGCGAAGAACCUUACCAGGGUUUGACAUCCUGCGAAUCUUUUGGAAACAGAAGAGUGCCUUCGGGAACGCAGUGACAGGUGGUGCAUGGCUGUCGUCAGCUCGUGUCGUGAGGUGUUGGGUUAAGUCCCGCAACGAGCGCAACCCACGUCGUUAGUUGCCAGCAUUUAGUUGGGCACUCUAGCGAGACCGCCGGUGAUAAACCGGAGGAAGGUGUGGAUGACGUCAAGUCAUCAUGCCCCUUACAUCCUGGGCUACACACGUACUACAAUGCUACGGACAAAGGGCAGCAAACUCGCGAGAGCUAGCAAAUCCCAUAAACCGUGGCUCAGUUCAGAUCGUAGGCUGCAACUCGCCUACGUGAAGGAGGAAUCGCUAGUAAUCGCAGGUCAGCAUACUGCGGUGAAUACGUUCCCGGGCCUUGUACACACCGCCCGUCACACCAUGGAAGUUGGCCACGCCCGAAGCCGUUACUCCAACCCUUGUGGAGGAGGAUGUCGAAGGUGGGGCUGAUGACUGGGGUGAAGUCGUAACAAGGUAACC
This 1446-nucleotide ribosomal RNA is filed under the name uncultured marine bacterium. RNAcentral describes it as "bacterial SSU rRNA". It matches the Rfam family "Bacterial small subunit ribosomal RNA". The record is from RNAcentral.